This 497-nucleotide ribosomal RNA is filed under the name uncultured bacterium. RNAcentral describes it as "partial 16S ribosomal RNA". It matches the Rfam family "Bacterial small subunit ribosomal RNA", at positions 28 to 507 of the family's 1533-position model. The record is from RNAcentral.
GACGAACGCUGGCGGCGUGCCAAAUACAUGCAAGUAGAACGCUGAAGAGAGGAGCUUGCUCUUCUUGGAUGAGUUGCGAACGGGUGAGUAACGCGUAGGUAACCUGCCUUGUAGCGGGGGAUAACUAUUGGAAACGAUAGCUAAUACCGCAUAACAAUGGAUGACACAUGUCAUUUAUUUGAAAGGGGCAAUUGCUCCACUACAAGAUGGACCUGCGUUGUAUUAGCUAGUAGGUGAGGUAAUGGCUCACCUAGGCGACGAUACAUAGCCGACCUGAGAGGGUGAUCGGCCACACUGGGACUGAGACACGGCCCAGACUCCUACGGGAGGCAGCAGUAGGGAAUCUUCGGCCAUGGGGGCAAACCUGACCGAGCAACGCCGCGUGAGUGAAGAAGGUUUUCGGAUCGUAAAGCUCUGUUGUAAGUCAAGAACGGGUGUGAGAGUGGAAAGUUCACACUGUGACGGUAGCUUACCAGAAAGAGACGGCUAACUACGUG